AAGAGACUACACUCUACCCUGCGCUCUUCCCUUCCCAUCCUCAUGUAACACUCACUUUUCCUCUUGGAUUCGGCUUCUCCCGCUUCUCGUCACACCGCACGUAAGCACUUUCUCCUCUCAUCCGGCUGUUUCCAUUUUCUGCUGCGAACUGAAAUCUUCAGCGGAUACUUGUGUGAUACUUUCGCGGCGCAUUAUUUAGAUUCGUUCGGGUUGUCGGAGCCGCUAGCUGCUUUGGAGUCGUUUCACGAGUCACGUAGUGCCCUAGAUAGGUUUCAAUGGCUUACUGAGGUGAUCGAGCUGCAAAUCUUGGCGACAUCAUUGGGGUGAGCUUGUCCAGCAUGCAGAGGAGGAAGCCGAAGCAGAAUGGGUAUCCACUGGUGGUCAUGGCAGGUAGUGGUGCCAGGACUCUCUUUAGUUGUGCUCGUUGUGGCGACGCAUUUGUUUGUAACACCUCUUGUGCCCACCUUUUCUGUGGAUCCAAAUGCGCUAGUCAUUCAUCGUAUCAAUGGCACAUACGAAUGGAAUGCUGAGCGAGAUCGAUCAUGCGAAAAGGAGCACGGAGCAGUUGUUUAUCGUAAUGCGACUUGGAAGGCAGAUGUGGGUUGUUGGCUAUCGCAAUGUGGGAAUUCCUCUUUCCCAAUUCCUGUUGUGGAAAAGUUUUGGAGAAACAGUUGCACUUUUGAGUGCGAUGGCCGUGGUGUUUGCAACAAGGAGCUUGCACAAUGUCGAUGCUCUGUGGGCUUUUCAGGAGUAGGCUGCGAAAAGGUAAUCAAUCGGAAGUGCAACAAGGGUGUUACUGACGAGCAGCCCUAUGGUUCCUGGGGCGUAUCUGUUUGUCCGGGGUUUUGUGACAAACGCACAGCGCACUGUCUGUGCGGUAAUACCACUAAAUACCCCGACCGACCGUUAGCUGAAGCCUGUGGAUUUCAUUCCAAGGGGAACACAGGGGAAAUUGAUUGGACAAAAGCUGAUACGGACUAUAUAUAUGGGAAUAAAAGCUACCAGGGCUGGUGUAAUCUUGAUGCAGAAGAUGUGCAUGACAAGAACAUUCGUGUCAAGUUACCUCAAUGCGAUUGCAAGUAUGAUGGUCAGUGGGGAGUAGUUUGUGAAAGUCCUUCCGAAAGUUUUUGCAUCAAUCAGUGUAACCUUAACGGGAUUUGUCAUCAGGGCUUCUGUGCAUGCAGAAAAGGCUGGUAUGGCGUUGAUUGUAGUGUGCCCUCCUACUUACCUCCACCUGUGCAACGUCCGAAGUGGCUACCUCAAGAAGCUGCUCCUGAUGUUUCAGACGAGACAAAUCGAAUCUCAGUAGCUUCAAACAUAAUGAAAAAACGUCCUUUGGUUUACGUAUACGACCUUCCUGCUGAAUUUACCACUCAAUUUCUUCAGGGAAGGCACUUCAAAUUUGAGUGUGUUAACCGGCUCUAUGAUGUCGAUAAUGCUACCAUAUGGACAGAGAAUCUUUACGGUGCAGGGAUUGCAUUAUAUGAGAGUCUUCUUGCAAGCGAGCAUCGAACCACCAACGGAGAUGAGGCAGACUUUUUCUACGUUCCUUUCUUACAGGCCUGCAUUGUUGAGCAAGGAGAUGCCGCUCCCCACUUGACUUUCCAGGGGAAAUAUAUGGGUUUAAGACAAUACUUUGCUGGAGACUAUAGCAAGCAAAUUUAUUUUCAUAUACAACAGAAUUAUCCUUACUGGAAUCGUUCUGCAGGACGUGAUCACAUCUGGUUUUUCCCAUGGGAUGAAGGUGCAUGCUCGGCGCCAAAAGAGAUAUGGAACAGCAUGAUGUUAUCCCAUUGGGGCAACACAAAUGCAAAGCAUAAGGCUUCGACUACCGCAUAUCGUGCUGAUAACUGGGAUCUUAUUCCACCAGAGUGGCGUGGCGAUCAUCCUUGCUACGAUCCUGCAAAAGAUCUUGUCCUACCAGCGUGGAAAUUUCCAGAUCCUUAUCCGAUCGUUCAGAACCUCUCGUCUAGACAUCGUCAAGAUCGGCCAACAUUAUUUUACUUCAACGGCAAUUUAGGGAGUGCCUACGAUAAUGGUAGGCCCGAACCUGGUUACAGUAUGGGCAUCAGGCAGAAGCUGGCAGCAGAGUUUGGGUCACAGCCCAAUAAGAAGGGAUUAUUAGGCCGGCAAGCAGUAGACGAUGUCGUGGUUCAGGCCCAACGCAGUCCACAAUAUAAACUUGAGCUUUCCAAGUCUCGGUUUUGUGGCGUAUUACCAGGGGACGGCUGGAGUGGUCGCAUGGAAGACAGCAUUUUGAGUGGUUGUAUUCCUGUCAUCAUUCAGGAUGGUAUUCAUUUGCCGUUCGAGAAUGUUUUGGAUUACGAGAGCUUCACUGUGCGUGUAGCUGAAGAUAACAUUCACAAUCUCAUCACCAUACUCAAGGCCAUAAAUGAAGCACAAGUGGAUUCCAUGUUAGCAGUUGUUCGAGGUUUGUGGCAGCGUUUCACGUAUCACUACGCAGUAAAGUUGGAGGCAAACAGGCAAAAGUUGAAGCUUAACAAGGAAGAUUUGUGGGCCAGUGUACAGAACUCCCUUACAGGCGACGAUGCAUUCUCUACAUUCAUUCAUGUCAGGUUUUCUCUCUCUGAUCAGUAGUUCAGCGCAGAAAAGCUGCGCAAUCCUUUACAUCAUUAGUGGAGAUGCUCAGAAUGUUUCUGGGCAGAAGAUCUCCAUCAUAAAUCUUCUAUACCAGCUUGGUGUUAGAGUACAAACUACACACGGAUACAUGGCGCAGCGAGAUGAAGCAGCCUUUAAAGAAUUAUGGUGUUCCAGAUAAUUGCAGAUGAAAUUCCAGUCGCUUUAUAUUUACCUGACCUGGAGCUGCCGUAGUGAUUCUUUUCCUACCCCUUUAUUCUUUUGUAUGUUGAAAUAUUGGGUUUGAGGAGAUGUAAUUCAGUAUAAGGUUGAGUUAGAAGAUUAGAAGGUGUCCUGAAAAUUUGGUAACACUGGUGAGCGGAAGCUUUGCAUUUAGUAAAAGAGAAAAAGGUUCAAAUUGGGCCAGGUAUAUCGCAUGGUGUUUAAAUUCUUACACUGAAGUAGGUAAAGGGUUUGGUUUUCUGCACAUUCUGAGUGUAUGAAACGUUAUUUCAGUAAAUUGGAGCUCUUUCAAACCCGUAAGAAUUUCACAACUUA
Physcomitrium patens is the source of this 3135-nucleotide RNA transcript. RefSeq lists it as uncharacterized. The record is from RefSeq and is a predicted model, not a curated record. NCBI's taxonomy places the organism in Eukaryota, Viridiplantae, Streptophyta, Bryopsida, Funariales, Funariaceae.